This 253-nucleotide ribosomal RNA is filed under the name uncultured bacterium. RNAcentral describes it as "partial 16S ribosomal RNA". It matches the Rfam family "Bacterial small subunit ribosomal RNA", at positions 524 to 776 of the family's 1533-position model. The record is from RNAcentral.
UACAGAGGGUGCAAGCGUUGUUCGGAAUUACUGGGCGUAAAGGGCGCGUAGGCGGCCCGCUAAGUCGAACGUGAAAUCCCCGAGCUCAACUCGGGAACUGCGUCCGAUACUGGUGGGCUUGAAUCCGGGAGAGGGAUGCGGAAUUCCAGGUGUAGCGGUGAAAUGCGUAGAUAUCUGGAGGAACACCGGUGGCGAAGGCGACAUCCUGGACCGGUAUUGACGCUGAGGCGCGAAAGCCAGGGGAGCAAACGGG